UGAUUACAAAACACUAUAUGUUGUGUGUAUAGGAAAAGGGAAGUUGGGUAUGAAUGCCCACGCGGUCCCGCCGCUGUAAAGGUGAGAAUUUGGCAAGAACCACUGGAGAAAUCUGGGAAGGAAGCCAAAUUUGAGGAACCUGAGCCAGAAGACCUCCCUAUGCAGACACGCCGUC
RNAcentral lists this non-coding RNA (175 nucleotides) under Sphaerochaeta pleomorpha. Lineage: Bacteria; Pseudomonadati; Spirochaetota; Spirochaetia; Spirochaetales; Sphaerochaetaceae. The record is from RNAcentral.